Molecule: long non-coding RNA, 675 nt
Organism: Siniperca chuatsi (mandarin fish)
Lineage: Eukaryota; Metazoa; Chordata; Actinopteri; Centrarchiformes; Sinipercidae
Exons: 4
Source: RefSeq, a predicted model, not a curated record
CCACAGUAAAUACAGUAACCACACUAACCACAGUAACCACAGUAACCACAGUAAAUACAGUAACCACACCAACCACAGUAACCACAGUAACCACAGUAACCACAGUAACCAGACUAACCACAGUAACUCCCUCACUCCUGCUCGCGUGCGCACGGUGCCGAGGAGAGGGAGCGCCGCUGACUGAGAUUACUCAGCUUACUCUUGAGUCCUUGUUGAGGUCAUGGCCACCUGCGCAGCCUCCACCACGCCUGCCACUACAAGCUAGCAUAAACUUGGUGAGAUCUGCAGAGACGUUGGGGAGCUUCCUCAGCGUGCUGGACGUCCGUGUCUGCAGGUUUGGCUGAAGUGGACUGUGGUGGAAAGGCCUUCUCGCCUUCUUGUCCCAGUCCCUGCGAGGAAGAGUAGCACCGGAUGUCCUCAUCAUCCACUGUGGCGGCAACAACAUGGGGAGGUCAGCAGCGUCAAGCUGGUCAACAUGAUGGAGGAAGACCUGGUGCCAAUCCGGUGAAGCUCGACAAGGCCAGGAAACCUGUCAGCGCUGUUGAGUCCAUCUAUCUGUCUGUGGAUGCACAACAGGAAGUGCUCCGUCUUGUCGGUAUCCCAGGUAGCAGAGGAGAGGUUGUCAUGGCGAUAGAGACCAAGAAUUAGCUCCAGACUGUCUCUGAUGAAAACCAG